Long non-coding RNA from Canis lupus familiaris (dog), 673 nucleotides. RefSeq lists it as uncharacterized. Lineage: Eukaryota; Metazoa; Chordata; Mammalia; Carnivora; Canidae. The transcript is spliced from 3 exons. The record is from RefSeq and is a predicted model, not a curated record.
ACGGCGUGGGGGGUACUUGCACGGCUGACCUCCCUGCGGAGGGCUCCUUGGGACUCACCCAGCACCCCCAGGCCCAGAGCCUAGCACAGCGCGUCUGACCCGCGCUAGACUUGCACGGAUACCGAUACACCCAAGGGAUGCUGGUGAUGUAGUUCUGGGGAGGCGGGGGGACAUGGCUCCACUGGCCCCGCCUCGGUGCGCCCAUCUGUUGGGUGGACAUAGAUGUACCUGCCUCACAGGAUGCUGGCUCCAGCUCAGAUCUCUGGCCCUGAGUCAACAACAUUCAACCAAACAGGGCCACCAUCCUGCAUGUGCUGAGAAGAUCAUAAGGUGAACGGACAGUCAGAAGCUCACACAGGGACUGGCCUCCUUUGGGGAAGGCACCCGGGUGCAUGUGGAUCCCAGUGCACACUCGGCAUUGACCAGAGGUCUGCCGAAAUGAAUCACAGUGACUUAACUGGAGUGAAAACUUGAGUAUGCUUUUGACUAGUCCACGAACACUGCUUUCUCUUUUCAUGGGUCCCCAUCUCUAGAUGGAAGAGCACACAGAAUCUCUGUGGCUGGGCAACCCCCGUGGCUCAGCGGUUUAGCGCCACCUUCAGCCCAGGGUGUGAUCCUGGAGUUCUGGGAUGAGUCCCGUGUCGGGCUCCCUGCAUGGGAGCCUGCUUCUCCC